This 242-nucleotide ribosomal RNA is filed under the name uncultured bacterium. Its description in RNAcentral is "partial 16S ribosomal RNA". It matches the Rfam family "Bacterial small subunit ribosomal RNA", at positions 114 to 354 of the family's 1533-position model. The record is from RNAcentral.
CACGUGAGCAACCUGCCUUUCANAGGGGGAUAACAGUUGGAAACGACUGCUAAUACCGCAUAACGCUGCGAUGGGGCAUCCCGAUGCAGCCAAAGGAGCAAUCCGCUGGAAGAUGGGCUCGCGGCCGAUUAGCUAGUUGGUGGGGCAACGGCCCACCAAGGCGACGAUCGGUAGCCGGACUGAGAGGUUGAUCGGCCACAUUGGGACUGAGACACGGCCCAGACUCCUACGGGAGGCAGCAG